This 288-nucleotide long non-coding RNA is filed under the name Homo sapiens (human). RNAcentral's name for it is "HSALNT0252540". The record is from RNAcentral. Lineage: Eukaryota; Metazoa; Chordata; Mammalia; Primates; Hominidae.
CUCACAGGCCCCUGUUACCCAACCACAGCUAUUUUCUUUUACCCAAGAUAACUUGAAAAGAUAAGUUAAAAUCACUUUAAAUUGACUAUAAAUAGAUCCAUUUUUCUAAUUAAAAUAUGUAAAUUAAAAGAGAUAGACUGUUUGGCAGAGUCACACAUAAAGAUAAGCACAGGAGAGGAAUUAAUCUCACGUGAUGGAAUUUUACUGGAAAUGAACUUCUAAACAGAAACCAACAUCACAGCAAUGUCUUUACGCCAAAAAAAAAAAAAAAAAAAAAAAAAGAUAAAA